This is a non-coding RNA of Schizosaccharomyces pombe (fission yeast), 375 nucleotides long. The record is from the annotation of a GenBank genome assembly. Lineage: Eukaryota; Fungi; Ascomycota; Schizosaccharomycetes; Schizosaccharomycetales; Schizosaccharomycetaceae.
UUGGGGUAGCUUCCAUACAUAGAUGACUUCGAAUUCCAUAGAAACUAUACUUAUAGCAAAAGCCUCGGCCACGCAUAGCAGACUUUGUCCAUCUGCAAAUCUUUACACCACUAUGUGAGCCAACUACGCUGUAUCCCUGCUUUGUAAGGGCUUUAUACGUAGGAGACUCUGUCGAAACCAUCUCUUUAGUACCCACUGGCAAGGCUGCUUCUGCCUUUGCCUUGGCCAUCAUGGAACCCAUAUCCUCAACAUCCAUAACAUCCGAACUAAGUGAAUCCGUGUUUCCGAUUUUCAAAAGCGUACCGUUUUUCAAGCAUUCUGCUACAGACCUUGUCCACUGUAAUAAAGCGUCAAUUUGAGCAGUAGGUGCCAAUU